AGUGAAUGCUGGCGGUAGGCCUAACACAUGCAAGUCGAACGGCAGCACAGUAAGAGCUUGCUCUUACGGGUGGCGAGUGGCGGACGGGUGAGGAAUACAUCGGAAUCUACUUUUUCGUGGGGGAUAACGUAGGGAAACUUACGCUAAUACCGCAUACGACCUACGGGUGAAAGCAGGGGAUCUUCGGACCUUGCGCGAUUGAAUGAGCCGAUGUCGGAUUAGCUAGUUGGCGGGGUAAGGGCCCACCAAGGCGACGAUCCGUAGCUGGUCUGAGAGGAUGAUCAGCCACACUGGAACUGAGGCACGGUCCAGACUCCUACGGGAGGCAGCAGUGGGGAAUAUUGGACAAUGGGCGCAAGCCUGAUCCAGCCAUACCGCGUGGGUGAAGAAGGCCUUCGGGUUGUAAAGCCCUUUUGUUGGGAAAGAAAAGCAGCAGGUUAAUACCCCGCUGUUCUGACGGUACCCAAAGAAUAAGCACCGGCUAACUUCGUG
This 492-nucleotide ribosomal RNA is filed under the name uncultured bacterium. Its description in RNAcentral is "partial 16S ribosomal RNA". It matches the Rfam family "Bacterial small subunit ribosomal RNA", at positions 29 to 507 of the family's 1533-position model. The record is from RNAcentral.